Molecule: ribosomal RNA, 1403 nt
Filed under: uncultured bacterium
Lineage: Bacteria
Description: 16S ribosomal RNA
Rfam family: Bacterial small subunit ribosomal RNA
Source: RNAcentral
AGAGUUUGAUCCUGGCUCAGGAUGAACGCUAGCGACAGGCUUAACACAUGCAAGUCGAGGGGCAGCGGGGAGUGAGGCUUGCCUUACUCUGCCGGCGACCGGCGCACGGGUGAGUAACACGUAUGCAACCUACCCUUUACAGCGGGAUAACCGGAAGAAAUUUCGCCUAAUACCGCAUAUACUCCUUGGGAGGCAUCUUCCGAGGGGGAAAGAAUUUCGGUGAAGGAUGGGCAUGCGUCGCAUUAGUUAGUUGGCGGUGUAACGGACCACCAAGACGACGAUGCGUAGGGGUUCUGAGAGGAAGGUCCCCCACACUGGUACUGAGACACGGACCAGACUCCUACGGGAGGCAGCAGUGAGGAAUAUUGGUCAAUGGGCGGAAGCCUGAACCAGCCAAGUCGCGUGAGGGAAGACGGUCCUAUGGAUUGUAAACCUCUUUUGCAGGGGAGCAAGGCGCGGUACGUGUACCGCGAAGGAGAGUACCCUGAGAAAAAGCAUCGGCUAACUCCGUGCCAGCAGCCGCGGUAAUACGGAGGAUGCGAGCGUUAUCCGGAUUUAUUGGGUUUAAAGGGUGCGCAGGCGGACUGUUAAGUCAGCGGUAAAAUGUCGGUGCUCAACACCGGCCGGCCGUUGAAACUGGCAGCCUUGAGUGAGCGAGAAGUAUGCGGAAUGCGUGGUGUAGCGGUGAAAUGCAUAGAUAUCACGCAGAACUCCGAUUGCGAAGGCAGCAUACCGGCGCUCAACUGACGCUCAGGCACGAAAGCGUGGGUAUCGAACAGGCUUAGAUACCCUGGUAGUCCACGCAGUAAACGAUGAAUGCUCACUGUCCGGGCCGUUUAAGGCCUGGGUGGUCAAGCGAAAGCGUUAAGCAUUCCACCUGGGGAGUACGCCGGCAACGGUGAAACUCAAAGGAAUUGACGGGGGCCCGCACAAGCGGAGGAACAUGUGGUUUAAUUCGAUGAUACGCGAGGAACCUUACCCGGGCUCAAACGGAAGGGGACAGUAUGAGAAAUCAUACAUUCCUUCGGGACCGCUUCCGAGGUGCUGCAUGGUUGUCGUCAGCUCGUGCCGUGAGGUGUCGGCUUAAGUGCCAUAACGAGCGCAACCCCUAUCGACAGUUGCUAGCAGGUAAAGCUGAGGACUCUGUCGAGACUGCCGGCGCAAGCUGUGAGGAAGGCGGGGAUGACGUCAAAUCAGCACGGCCCUUACGUCCGGGGCGACACACGUGUUACAAUGGCAGGUACAGCGGGAAGCCACCCGGCGACGGGGCGCAGAACCCGAAAACCUGUCUCAGUUCGGAUUGGAGUCUGCAACCCGACUCCAUGAAGCUGGAUUCGCUAGUAAUCGCGCAUCAGCCACGGCGCGGUGAAUACGUUCCCGGGCCUUGCACUCACCGCCCGUCA